Molecule: ribosomal RNA, 447 nt
Filed under: uncultured bacterium
Lineage: Bacteria
Description: partial 16S ribosomal RNA
Rfam family: Bacterial small subunit ribosomal RNA
Source: RNAcentral
AGCGAACGCUGGCGGCAGGCUUAACACAUGCAAGUCGAACGCCCCGCAAGGGGAGUGGCAGACGGGUGAGUAACACGUGGGAACGUACCCUUUGGUUCGGAAUAACUUGGGGAAACUCAAGCUAAUACCGGAUAAGCCCUUAUGGGGAAAGGUUUACUGCCGAAGGAUCGGCCCGCGUCUGAUUAGCUAGUUGGUGAGGUAACGGCUCACCAAGGCGACGAUCAGUAGCUGGUCUGAGAGGAUGAUCAGCCACACUGGGACUGAGACACGGCCCAGACUCCUACGGGAGGCAGCAGUGGGGAAUAUUGGACAAUGGGGGCAACCCUGAUCCAGCCAUGCCGCGUGAGUGAUGAAGGCCUUAGGGUUGUAAAGCUCUUUUACCCGGGACGAUAAUGACUGUACCGGGAGAAUAAGCCCCGGCUAACUUCGUGCCAGCAGCCGCGGUAA